AAGACACGACGCAAGAGAGAAGGAGGCUGUUCCGCCGUGCACUGUGGUCGCUCCUGGGGUCGAUUGAAGCCGCCGCCGCUGCUAGGACUUGCCGUGCUUUUGUCCUCACUUUCGGCUUCUACGAUUACUUCCUUUCCAGUGAUUGCUUCACGUGUUAUAAGUUGUAUAUGAUGCCAUUGGAACUCUAGCUGAAGCUGUUGGUAGGGAGCUGAAUCAGCCUGUUUAUCUUGACAUUCUCAUGCCACCAUUAAUAGAGAAAUGGUAGCAACUUUCAAAUUCAAACAAAGAUCUCUUUCCUCUCUUGGAAUGCUUUAUAUCU
This is a non-coding RNA of Arachis ipaensis, 319 nucleotides long. NCBI's taxonomy places the organism in Eukaryota, Viridiplantae, Streptophyta, Magnoliopsida, Fabales, Fabaceae. The record is from RefSeq and is a predicted model, not a curated record.